GAUGAACGCUGGCGGCGUGCUUAACACAUGCAAGUCGAACGGAAAGGCUCCUGCUUGCAGGGGUACUCGAGUGGCGAACGGGUGAGUAACACGUGGGUGAUCUGCCCUGCACUUCGGGAUAAGCCUGGGAAACUGGGUCUAAUACCGGAUAGGACGAUGGUUUGGAUGCCAUUGUGGAAAGUUUUUCGGUGUGGGAUGAGCUCGCGGCCUAUCAGCUUGUUGGUGGGGUAAUGGCCUACCAAGGCGUCGACGGGUAGCCGGCCUGAGAGGGUUUACGGCCACAUUGGGACUGAGAUACGGCCCAGACUCCUACGGGAGGCAGCAGUGGGGAAUAUUGCACAAUGGGCGCAAGCCUGAUGCAGCGACGCCGCGUGGGGGAUGACGGCCUUCGGGUUGUAAACUCCUUUCGCUAGGGACGAAGCGCAAGUGACGGUACCUGGAGAAGAAGCACCGGCUAACUACGUG
This 465-nucleotide ribosomal RNA is filed under the name uncultured bacterium. Its description in RNAcentral is "partial 16S ribosomal RNA". It matches the Rfam family "Bacterial small subunit ribosomal RNA", at positions 28 to 507 of the family's 1533-position model. The record is from RNAcentral.